AGUUUGAUCCUGGCUCAGAUUGAACGCUGGCGGCAGGCUUAACACAUGCAAGUCGAGCGGGGAAAGGUAGCUUGCUACCUUACCUAGCGGCGGACGGGUGAGUAAUGCUUAGGAAUCUGCCUAUUAGUGGGGGACAACAUUUCGAAAGGAAUGCUAAUACCGCAUACGCCCUACGGGGGAAAGCAGGGGACCUUCGGGCCUUGCGCUAAUAGAUGAGCCUAAGUCGGAUUAGCUAGUUGGUGGGGUAAAGGCCUACCAAGGCGACGAUCUGUAGCGGGUCUGAGAGGAUGAUCCGCCACACUGGGACUGAGACACGGCCCAGACUCCUACGGGAGGCAGCAGUGGGGAAUAUUGGACAAUGGGGGGAACCCUGAUCCAGCCAUGCCGCGUGUGUGAAGAAGGCCUUUUGGUUGUAAAGCACUUUAAGCGAGGAGGAGGCUACUUAGAUUAAUACUCUAGGAUAGUGGACGUUACUCGCAGAAUAAGCACCGGCUAACUCUGUGCCAGCAGCCGCGGUAAUACAGAGGGUGCAAGCGUUAAUCGGAUUUACUGGGCGUAAAGCGUGCGUAGGUGGCCAAUUAAGUCAAAUGUGAAAUCCCCGAGCUUAACUUGGGAAUUGCAUUCGAUACUGGUUGGCUAGAGUAUGGGAGAGGAUGGUAGAAUUCCAGGUGUAGCGGUGAAAUGCGUAGAGAUCUGGAGGAAUACCGAUGGCGAAGGCAGCCAUCUGGCCUAAUACUGACACUGAGGUACGAAAGCAUGGGGAGCAAACAGGAUUAGAUACCCUGGUAGUCCAUGCCGUAAACGAUGUCUACUAGCCGUUGGGGUCUUUGAGACUUUAGUGGCGCA
This 846-nucleotide ribosomal RNA is filed under the name uncultured bacterium. RNAcentral describes it as "bacterial SSU rRNA". It matches the Rfam family "Bacterial small subunit ribosomal RNA", at positions 10 to 850 of the family's 1533-position model. The record is from RNAcentral.